This 214-nucleotide long non-coding RNA is filed under the name Elaeis guineensis (African oil palm). RNAcentral's name for it is "long non-coding RNA (EGUI_LNC010705)". Lineage: Eukaryota; Viridiplantae; Streptophyta; Magnoliopsida; Arecales; Arecaceae. The record is from RNAcentral.
UAGAAAAAUUAGUACACAAUUUUCAAAACAUGAUGUUAAUCAGUAAAUAGUUAAUAAAGAUGCAAAAUAUAAUUCAUAAAUAAAUCAUCUAACUAUACAAUAUACACUUGUAAGCAUAGUGAUAUAUAUGAUGUUCAUCAAUAUAUAAAUCAUGGCUGUGUGAUACACACUUGAUAAACAAAUCAUGCAAAAAAGAGGAGGAAAAAUAGAUUUA